RNAcentral lists this ribosomal RNA (515 nucleotides) under uncultured bacterium. Its description in RNAcentral is "partial 16S ribosomal RNA". It matches the Rfam family "Bacterial small subunit ribosomal RNA", at positions 28 to 523 of the family's 1533-position model. The record is from RNAcentral.
GAUGAACGCUGGCGGCGUGCCUAAUACAUGCAAGUCGAGCGAAUGGAUUAAGAGCUUGCUCUUAUGAAGUUAGCGGCGGACGGGUGAGUAACACGUGGGUAACCUGCCCAUAAGUCUGGGAUAACUCCGGGAAACCGGGGCUAAUACCGGAUAACAUUUUGAACCGCAUGGUUCGAAAUUGAAAGGCGGCCUCGGCUGUCACUUAUGGAUGGACCCGCGUCGCAUUAGCUAGUUGGUGAGGUAACGGCUCACCAAGGCAACGAUGCGUAGCCGACCUGGUAGGGUGAUCGGCCACACUGGGACUGAGACACGGCCCAGACUCCUACGGGAGGCAGCAGUAGGGAAUCUUCCGCAAUGGACGAAAGUCUGACGGAGCAACGCCGCGUGAGUGAUGAAGGCUUUCGGGUCGUAAAACUCUGUUGUUAGGGAAGAACAAGUGCUAGUUGAAUAAGCUGGCACCUUGACGGUACCUAACCAGAAAGCCACGGCUAACUACGUGCCAGCAGCCGCCGUAA